RNAcentral lists this long non-coding RNA (481 nucleotides) under Gossypium raimondii (Peruvian cotton). RNAcentral's name for it is "long non-coding RNA (GRAI_LNC001878)". Lineage: Eukaryota; Viridiplantae; Streptophyta; Magnoliopsida; Malvales; Malvaceae. The record is from RNAcentral.
CGUCUAGGAGAGUUUGAGAUGGACUAAAAAACUGAGUAGUGGAUUUAGUGGGGAGUUUGAUGGAGAGAAAUAAGGGAUUGGGGUGGUUAUCAAAUAUUCUGUUCAUCUUUUUUUUCAUUUUUUUUAAUUUUCCCCAAAAUCCCUCCACUCUCUUGUCGUUUUUCUCUUCAUUUAUGCCGAAUUUCUACUCUCUUUCACCCUUCAUCUUCUUGAUUUUUUUCCCACUUUGCCUCAUGUCACUCCACGUUUGUUUGCGAUCGUUCGGUAAGUUUUAGAUAAGUGAUUUGUCUCUGUUUGUUAAAUUUCUUCUGAAGUGUUUUGUUUAUGCUAAUUAGGGGAGGAUUCAAGGGCUCAUAAUCACCAAUCGGAGUCUUAGUUUGUGUGGGAAUUACUAUUCAUCAGUUGAAGGUAAGGUUUAGUCGCUUAUGGGUUAAAACCUCGAUACGAGUUCGAUUUGGGAUCACGUUAUGUGAGAUUAAAU